RNAcentral lists this ribosomal RNA (465 nucleotides) under uncultured bacterium. RNAcentral's name for it is "partial 16S ribosomal RNA". It matches the Rfam family "Bacterial small subunit ribosomal RNA", at positions 28 to 507 of the family's 1533-position model. The record is from RNAcentral.
GACGAACGCUGGCGGCGUGCUUAACACAUGCAAGUCGAACGGAAAGGCCCUGCUUGCAGGGUACUCGAGUGGCGAACGGGUGAGUAACACGUGGGUGAUCUGCCCUGCACUUCGGGAUAAGCCUGGGAAACUGGGUCUAAUACCGGAUAGGAGCCAUUUUUAGUGUGAUGGUUGGAAAGUUUUUUCGGUGUAGGAUGAGCUCGCGGCCUAUCAGCUUGUUGGUGGGGUAAUGGCCUACCAAGGCGGCGACGGGUAGCCGGCCUGAGAGGGUGGACGGCCACAUUGGGACUGGGAUACGGACCAGACUCCUACGGGAGGCAGCAGUGGGGAAGAUUGAACAAUGGGCGCAAGCCUGAUGCAGCGACGCCGCGUGGGGGAUGACGGCCUUCGGGUUGUAAACUCCUUUCGCUAGGGACGAAGCUUUUUGUGACGGUACCUAGAGAAGAAGCACCGGCUAACUACGUG